GCUGCCUUCAGGUACCCUCAGAUAUGUUGUUGUUACUUAAGUCCCCGUGCGGCAAAAGGUGAGAUAAGGUUGGAUGGGUUUCGAUUUCUAAACAUAGAAACACCGCGAUAAAACAGCACAUCUCAGAGCACAGUUGUUUGAUUUUAUUUAGCAACGGAAUGCGCAACAAGACGUAUUUACACACUGGAAAUCUGAAAUUGGAGCACUAGAGGAACAUUUGAAUGCAGCAACAGUGACAACUACGUAAAAAAUGCAGCGUUGGAACCAGGGGCAGAGCCAGAUGUUGUAAACAUUCGGAGCUUAGCCCAAACCAAAGGGGACUACAAUCUCGUUUUUAUUUAAUUGUUCUCCCGCUGCAAUCCAAAACAAAACAAAUGUUGAGGAUCACUCAUUUUCACUCCUGGCAACUAAAAAGAGCUACGAGACAGGUCCUGCAACAUCGACUCCCUUGAAGAGAAAACCUUUGCAAGUCCCAGCUCCAGCAUUGUCUAGCAUUGGUGCUUCUAGUGGAACAGACCGAGAUGAGAAUCUUGAUGUCAUUCCAGAAGCCAACGAAAUUCAGGGCCUUGAACAAAGCUUACAUGACUUGAGCAUUGUUGAGGAGGACUUGGAGGAAAAUGUUUUCAAUGACCCAAUGAACAGUGUAUUUUUGUGCCUGAAUAGAAUGGGUGGAGCACUGAAGAAAGCACACUCUAUCGAUGGACUUCCUUGCCUGGGUCUGUACUAAUGGACACAGCUUGUGGAAUUCCCAGCCUGUGAUGAAGUUUGGGAUGCAAGCUGGAGAUUUUCUCUUGUCCACCAACAUUUUGUUGUCUGUCAACAACUACGCAAAGGUUGGCCUCUUGUUCAAAUUCAUGAACACGGGGAUGGUGAACAGAAACACUUUCUUCUCCAUUCAGGACACUUACUGCGUCAAUACAAUAAAGGACUUCUGGGAAGAGAGAAGGACAGAGGUUCUUUGUGGCCUUCAAGGGAAAGAUGUUGUUGUCCUAGAAAUGACUCUCCUGGUCACUGUGCACAAUACUGCAGCUACACCACCAUGGAGAAUGACACCAAGGAGAUCAUUCAUGUUGCCACCAUAGACAAGCGGCAAACAUCAUGGAACUCUGUCAUCAUGGAGAAGGAGGGUUUCAUCCAGAUUGGACAAGCUUACAUCAGAAAUAAAGCUAGUGGAGAUCUGCACAGAUGCUCAUGCCCAGAUUGGUGCCCUUAUGAACCCAGACAAAGGCAAAUACAAGGCCCUUGGAAUUCAUCACAGUCUGGACAUGUGGCAUGGUGCGAUGAACUUUGCCAAAAAAAUAGCAGCACUUUAGUGGAUAUAGUUCUCGAUAAGAGGUGGCAGAAAGAUGUUCACAACUAUCUGCGAAUCAGAUCGACUGCAGACCUAGAGUCAAUCCAGAAUCAUAUCCUGAUGUAUGCCAGCAAGCGCUAAGAGUUCUGCUUGCUGCUUUGGACUAAAGUUUCCACCGGAACCGACCAACAAUGAAAACGUUGGACGGCAAAGAGAUAAGAUACAGCGUAUAUGCCUUGAAAUCUGAAAAAACCUACGGAUACAUUUCCAAGUUGCAAAGAAGGAUUGUGAAGAACACACUCACAAGUGGAGUGGGGAUGCCUAGAAGGAGGAGCCUUCUCCCAGAUGACCCCAGACAGCUUGGUUUGGUGCCCCCCCGUACCUGCACCAGCCACAUCAGAUUUGUUGUUGUUGAGACAAGUCAGAAGAGGUCUAUGUAAGUUACACAAAUUUGUUGCCUAUGUUGUACCAUAUUACAUGUCACUGAAUGAUAGUUACAGACUAUGUUGUAAUGUAAAUAUGUUUGAUGUCUUCAACAGGACCGUUUAUUCCAACCAGCAUCUGAUAUAUAUAUAUAUAUAAAGUUACUUAGUAAGUUGUCCGUCAGGCAGACAUGUGCAGUGUAGGUCACAGUGUGUCCGUUAAGUCUGCUGGAAAAGUGAAGGCGGUUAGCGCUAGCUAACAGAUCCCCGGUCUGUAAAGCACGGUUUUGGCUGCAGUGUAACGUUAGCGAAAUUAGUAACGGAGUAAUGUUAAUUAGUUGCGUGUCAUUACUACAUAACUUAUUGAGGAAUGAGAACAGCAGGUUGAAGCUAAACAGGUGUCCUGUACACAUACUGUACAUCCUGAUAGUUAAGUUAAAUUAUAUUUCAGUGUCCAGAGGACAACUGGUUAUUAAAGGAAGGACGCUGGUGACCACGGAGGAGCUGAGGCUACUAAAGUAAAUCAGGGAUGUAAACUAGUCCUUUUAAGCAAUUGAGGAGACAUUUCUUUUGGAUUUUAAUGUGUAAACGAAAUGCUUAGUAGUUAUCCAGAAUUUUCACAAGAUGGAUCACCGCCCUCUGAAUUGUAAUCAAAUCGAAUCGUGAGGUGCCAAAAGAUUCUCAUUCCUACUGCCCAAACAGUGUUCCCAUUCAAUUACUUUAAAAUGUCUUUUAAUAGUCUACGUUUUGUGAAGUGGUUGUCUUUAAUUGUCCACUGCAUCUGUUAGGGCCUGUCCAUAGGCUCGCCAUUCAUCUGUGACAACAUC
This is a long non-coding RNA of Micropterus salmoides (largemouth bass), 2540 nucleotides long. RefSeq lists it as uncharacterized. The record is from RefSeq and is a predicted model, not a curated record. NCBI's taxonomy places the organism in Eukaryota, Metazoa, Chordata, Actinopteri, Centrarchiformes, Centrarchidae. The transcript is spliced from 10 exons.